This 343-nucleotide unclassified non-coding RNA is filed under the name soil metagenome. Its description in RNAcentral is "partial contains 5.8S ribosomal RNA, internal transcribed spacer 2, and large subunit ribosomal RNA". The stretch from base 1 to 119 matches the Rfam family "5.8S ribosomal RNA", at positions 35 to 154 of the family's 154-position model. The record is from RNAcentral.
GAUGAAGAACGUAGCGAAAUGCGAUACGUAAUGUGAAUUGCAAAUUCAGUGAAUCAUCGAGUCUUUGAACGCACAUUGCGCCCCCUGGUAUUCCGGGGGGCAUGCCUGUCCGAGCGUCAUUGCUGCCCUCAAGCACGGCUUGUGUGUUGGGCCCCGUCCUCCGAUUCCGGGGGACGGGCCCGAAAGGCAGCGGCGGCACCGCGUCCGGUCCUCGAGCGUAUGGGGCUUUGUCACCCGCUCUGUAGGCCCGGCCGGCGCUUGCCGAUCAACCCAAAUUUUUAUCCAGGUUGACCUCGGAUCAGGUAGGGAUACCCGCUGAACUUAAGCAUAUCAAAAGCGAGGA